Long non-coding RNA from Asparagus officinalis (garden asparagus), 883 nucleotides. RefSeq lists it as uncharacterized. The record is from RefSeq and is a predicted model, not a curated record. The transcript is spliced from 3 exons. NCBI's taxonomy places the organism in Eukaryota, Viridiplantae, Streptophyta, Magnoliopsida, Asparagales, Asparagaceae.
CGAGAGAAAAUCAACUGACCACCUCUUCGAUCGCCCCUAUUCAGCAGCCCAAACGUUCCUGCUGCCGAGUACCUCUACAGUAGCAUCCACCUCCGCGAGCAGGUUCUCUCUUGCUACGACUCCUCCCACCUCCACCACUCCCAUUCCUUCCCACUCUCCGUUCCUCCUCCCGCCUCUGGCCCCAAUCAUAUUGAGUGCUCGGUUACCGAAAUUGGGGGCUUGAGCUGUUGAAACACCAACCACCGCAAGUUUGAGGGCGAAGCCACCAACCACCCCUUCCUCACUUAGUGUUUCCUCCAAGAAGAUGGUUGAGAAAUCUACGACGAGAGCUCCAUUCGAUAGAGGAAUUUGAGCAGUGAGGAGUUCUGAUAUGAGUUGAACUUACAUUUUCAUCCCUUAUUGUUCGUGAGCAGAGCUUUGGGUUAUUGUCAUCAAAGAGCAUAUUCUGAAUAGGGCUAAUUUUUCUUGGAAUUUUGCCUUUGAGAAUUGUGAUUACUGAAAGACGCUAAUUUUUUCCUUAUUCUUUUGUUUAAACAUCAUUUCUUACGAAAAUGGGGAAAGAAUGAUUUCCUAAAUGUCUUUUUUGGUUCUUUCUUGUGAAUUUAAAGUAGAUGAUUAGCUCCAGAAGAGUAGCUCCUUUUUGGAAAGAGUUAAUCAUCUAGUUGAUGGAUACAGGUUAAAUUUCUCUUUGUUGUGCAGUAUUUUGAACUGUUGAUGUUGAGUAUGUGCUGGGUUUCUUUCGUUAUUUUCGUUGGGUUAGUAUGGUAUCUGUUUUGAGGUGUGGAGGUGUAAUACUAAAUACUGGUCCAAUGAGUUUCAGUUUUGUUCUUUUUAUGAGAAAUUCGAACUGUGGGUCUAAUGAGUUUUAUCCUUCUUAUUAUGU